GUAUUUACCUGGCAAUGAAAACAACAUGACCAUGGUGGUGGUUUUUCCAGGGCGAAGCUUAUCCAAUGCAUUCCAGAUGUACUGACCCUACAAUUACCUCAAAUGAGGGAAGCAUGGUUGCAUAAUUUGUGGUAAUGGGGUACUGUGUUUACAAUCUUCCA
Psammomys obesus (fat sand rat) is the source of this 161-nucleotide small nuclear RNA. RefSeq annotates it as U1 spliceosomal RNA. NCBI's taxonomy places the organism in Eukaryota, Metazoa, Chordata, Mammalia, Rodentia, Muridae. The record is from RefSeq and is a predicted model, not a curated record. The transcript has a single exon.